Molecule: small nucleolar RNA, 72 nt
Organism: Cricetulus griseus (Chinese hamster)
Lineage: Eukaryota; Metazoa; Chordata; Mammalia; Rodentia; Cricetidae
Product: small nucleolar RNA SNORD113/SNORD114 family
Source: Ensembl
UGGAUCAAUGAUGACCACUGAUGAUGUAUGAUCUAGGGAUCAUGACUACAUUUCUGGGAAUCUGAGAUUCAC